GGAAUCUUCCGCAAUGGACGAAAGUCUGACGGAGCAACGCCGCGUGAGUGGAGAAGGUUUUCGGAUCGUAAAACUCUGUUGUCAGAGAAGAACAAGUCGGAGAGUAACUGCUCCGGCCUUGACAGUAUCUGACCAGAAAGCCACGGCUAACUACGUGCCAGCAGCCGCGGUAAUACGUAGGUGGCAAGCGUUGUCCGGAUUUAUUGGGCGUAAAGCGAGCGCAGGCGGUUCCUUAAGUCUGAUGUGAAAGCCCACGGCUCAACCGUGGAAGGUCAUUGGAAACUGGGGAACUUGAGUGCAGAAGAGGAGAGUGGAAUUCCAUGUGUAGCGGUGAAAUGCGUAGAUAUAUGGAGGAACGCCAGUGGCGAAGGCGACUCUCUGGUCUGUAACUGACGCUGAGGCUCGAAAGCGUGGGGAGCAAACAGGAUUAGAUACCCGGG
RNAcentral lists this ribosomal RNA (440 nucleotides) under uncultured Trichococcus sp. Its description in RNAcentral is "bacterial SSU rRNA". It matches the Rfam family "Bacterial small subunit ribosomal RNA", at positions 358 to 790 of the family's 1533-position model. Lineage: Bacteria; Bacillati; Bacillota; Bacilli; Lactobacillales; Carnobacteriaceae. The record is from RNAcentral.